Molecule: long non-coding RNA, 889 nt
Organism: Papilio polytes (common Mormon)
Lineage: Eukaryota; Metazoa; Arthropoda; Insecta; Lepidoptera; Papilionidae
Exons: 3
Source: RefSeq, a predicted model, not a curated record
UCGGGGAAUAUGGCGGUAUUACACUUUGAAAACUGCAGUCAUUUCAACGUAGAAACAAUAACCAAUAAAACACAGCUUUUAAAUAUACACAGUUUUCAUCGCGUUAUAGUAUCGCUGGCUGUGUGGUGGUCUCCUAACGCAGCCAGGUUGCAGCGUACGUUAGUGACAAAGCCGGAAAUUACAGGCCGACAGCGUGGAGUGCACGCGACACCGCACUAUGCUCAUGUGAUGUGCAACGUUAAAUUGCACAGUUAAUACGUUUUCUAUGGAAACUAGUGAUGUGUAUUUAGUAAAGGUGAUAUGCAGAACGCAAUGACAGUGGCCGCGGGCGACGUCUCCAUCCCAUAACGUCGUGCUGAAGGGUGACGUCACAUGCACACGCACCAGAAUUACACCACAGGCGUUUUGGCAAAAGGAUUAAUUACCUCUAUUCAGUUAAAUUUUAAGUUACAUUUACACAGUAUCACUUAUUUAACUAUUUGGUAAAACUCUAUAACUUUCAAGUUACAUUAAGAGAUUGGUAUAAUAAUAUGGAGUCAAAUAAUUAAUAACUAACAGUUAAAACUCUCUAAGACUAUUUCUUCUACAUCAGUGAAACAGAUUAACUGAUAAGCAAUAGUCAAAACUUUAUUCACGCUUCGAGUUUGAUUGAUGUAAGAUGCAGUUCGACUUGCUACAUUUAAAUAACAACUAAUAAAAGCCUGAGAUUUUAAUAAUUUCAUUAGUAAAGGAGAACGAGAUCAUCAUUCUGUAAAUAUAAAUAAGGAAAUAAGAGAAAGUAUGAAGUUAGAAAGAGAGUUUAUGGGAUUUUUUCUUCCCUCUGUCCUUAAAUCUAUAUAUAUACUAUUAUAAUAAAGCGUAAACACACACUUUUUGUUGCCUAAGAUGU